This is a non-coding RNA of Anas platyrhynchos (mallard), 3527 nucleotides long. The record is from RefSeq and is a predicted model, not a curated record. NCBI's taxonomy places the organism in Eukaryota, Metazoa, Chordata, Aves, Anseriformes, Anatidae.
CUCUGCCAGGGGGAGGCUUUUGGCUGUUUGCACUGUCAGUCAUUUCUUCUGAGGGAAGACAGCAGUCCAAGUCCCGCUGAUGCCAGUUGGAUGGCACUCUUCUGUGGAAAGCCAGUCCCGGUAGAAGAGGGAGACAUGUAAUGAGCUCUCAUUUACUCACUGGGACCUGUCCUGUGACUUUGCUGUAGUUCUUCAAACAGCGAUGAGUUCAUCUUCAAUAUUGCACGGCUACAGUCUAGGCAAGAGGUAAUGAAAGGCAUUUCUAACACACCAGCAUGCAGCCAGCACCGAAAUCUCUGAAUCAAAAGGAGAAGGCAGGAGGCAUGGCCCUGGGAUGGUGUUGCGUGAGACCUCGGUGUCUGUAAGGAAUCCAGGAGGGCUCCAGGUGCAAGGUGUGGUUAAUCUUGAAUAGCUGCUGCCAGGUACUGGGCCUGUUCUGUGGAUACGAGGACUAUACUUCUCUAUCCCAAACCAGAAAGAAUGUGCAGAAAGCAAAGAUACACAAAAUAAUCCAGCCAACAUGUUCAGGACUUUAUUUAUGUUGGGAAGGGAUUCAGGGAAGAGUGGAGGUGAGGGGGCGCGUGGAAGAGGAUGCACACCCGCUGUCUGCUCUGUGGGCGAUGACGAGCAUUAGCAGGAGCGCUGGCACAUGACGGUGCAAUUCGACCUGACGGUUUGUUCCAGCGGCUGUGGAAGUUGACGCCUAUCAUGUUCCCUCUGUGCUUUCCCUUAAAAUGGAGUUUAAACUUCUGUUUGGCAAUUUGUAUUCACAGUGUGUGCCUGUCGGAUUGAAGUGAUGCUUCCCUACCAACCUUCUUCUGGUGACUCAAUCAGUUUCCAAAGAGUUUAAUUUAAGUAAUUGUUCACAUCCUUUUGUGUUGUAAAGAAAACCUGAGCACUAGUGGAGGAGCUUCUUUCUCCCCAAGCUCUUAGCUAAGCAGAAACACCGGAGUGAGCACUUGAUAUGACAUUUCUCAAGUUCUGCCAGGAAGAAACAAAGUUUGAGAAGCAUGAACUGUCCCACGCCGUCUCAGUUGGGCAUUGAUUAAAAAGCCUGAAUAAAACUCAUCUUUGCACACCUGUGGUGCUGGCCAUCAACUUGUGGGACCUCCUGCUCCCAUGCGGUCUCUUUAGAGUGGAGACCUGCGUUAUCAAAGCUGAAGAGCUCAGGCUCCUGGUCCCUCACAAAUACAUGUCCACAAAAGGGACUCUGUGUUCCCAUUCUGCUCACUCAUACCACCAUUACCUGAAAUGUCUGGGUUUUGAUUCACUGCAUAGGACAAAAUCUGAUUACCACCUGUGUUUUCUUUACUGUUUUGUCUGACACCUUUUGUAUAACCAGCAAGAACAUUUCUACAGCACUAGGGUGUAAGAAAGUGACGCUCAAGCUCAACCUCAUGUAAGAAAUCAACCUGAAUUUUGAAAGGUAGUUUCUUCACUGCCUCUACUGCUGCCUAUCUCCCACUCUUUGCUCUUUUCUUCUGGAAUUCGUGGUGCUACUCACCGGCCUGACCUGCCUCCCACGGGCUCCCUCUGUGUGGGGACACUGCCAGGAGCCUUCCAGCGAGCUCGAGGCUCAGCAAAGUCUCUGGCCUGACUGCCUCAGCUGGAAAUGCUUUCUGUGGGUUCAGCCUUGUAUCUGUGAUUUAAUGCCGUGCUAAUAUUAAACAUCUAACGUAAUGCAAUGUUGAUCUAAACCAGGGAAUAACCUAGGAAUAGGUAUGUGAAAAACUAUGUUGUUGUUUUAUUUUUUUUUUUCCAUUUUCAAGCUGGAGACAGGAUGUAAAGUAAGACUGGGAACAGUUUGUCUCCAGGGUCCCAGCAGGAACUUAGAAACUAGAGACAGAGGUCUCCUUUUCACAGCCUUUUGGUAGAGUAUUUCGUGAAACAGCAGGGACAGCAGCUGCUCUCAACCUGCUUGCUCUUUACCACGUAUUCAAAGGGAGCUGGAAAUGACUGUCUAUACCACCCAUUGCACUUCUCAGGGGCCACAAGAUACCAUUGUUGAUUUAAUACAAAACCUUGCAUUUCUACUGCUAAAUAGAAAUAUAGGGCAUAAAGAAGACACUGUAUUCCAUAAGACAGCAUGGCAGAACAGACUAAUGUCAGAAAUCAAGUCAGAAUGAACCAGUGACCAUUUCCCCAUUUAUAUCCUUAUGUUUCAAAGAGCUUCUCAGAUCAGAAAAGGCAGGUUUUGCCUUAUUUUCUCCUUCAUUACAGAAAGCAAGUUGCAAAAUAAAUCAAUAAAAGUAUUCAGAAAUCAAGAUCCACUUGAGAUACUAUCUUAAAAUCUAAGAUUGCUUCUGCGUUAGUUUGCAUACAUUGAGCUGAGUUUAAAUUCCAGGUUCUUGUUAAGGCUUCUAGAGAAAAUUGUGGGACUUCACAAGCCUUGGCACUCGUGUACUCCCAAAUUGCUUGAGUUUGACAAAUGACAGAAGUGGGACCCACUCACGGCUUUGAGUCUGCUUUUACCUUAGCCACCAGCCAAAGUUCGUGCCGCUUGGUGGUCUCGUUCAGACCUGUCUGUGAUCCAAACAGUGAAAACGAGCACAUUCCUCUCAGGAAAGAAGACAUCAAUUAAAUGAAACUCCUUUGGUUUCUGCUGGAGAAAGGCACACGCUCAAGAAACCGCAAACCGUUCAACUCACUGUGAUCUUAUUUCUUUACAGAAAAACAUUUCUUUACAGAAAAACAUUUUAGAACCAGCUACUUUCCUACAAUGAUGGACAUUGGCCAUACUUAAUUUUUCAUUUUUAAAUGUGAGCUACUAAUUAUAGACCCAUCCCAGAUUUCCUGGUCUGAACUUAGUGCUCUCAUUAAAAUAUGGCGUGCGUGACCAGCCAGCUUUUAUGGCACAGCCAGGCUGGUUGGCUCCGGAGGAUUGCCCCAUGCCCUGCUCCUCUCCACUGCCUUGAACUGUUUUGGGAUCUAGCUCCAAGCUGUGCUGUAGACCACACCUGGGACUGGGUGUUGAUCUAGGGUCAAAUUAUGGGGCUGGCCACAGGACCCAGAACAUAGAAAUAAGCAUCCUCCAGCUUUUAUGCUAAGCUGGCCAGAUCGGGCAUUCUUACUGACUGAACAACACUGUCAGUAAUUUGAAUCCUAAUCAGGUAGAAACCUAAUCGAAGCGCCUGAUGGAUGUGGACUGGAAGCAAACUGAUUUGGCAAAAAACAACCUGUCAAGCCCAAAUCAGUUUACCAUUAUCUUCAAUGGUAACGCUAAAAAAUAAAGCUGCUGGUUUUCUAAACCCUACUGCAUCAUUGUCUAUUAGGUGUUUGGGGAAGCAGGUAAGUGUUCUCACACACAGACACACAAUAUUUGUGGUGCCCUCAAUUAAAAACCUAUAAAAUGCUAUAUGAAGCUGAUAUUAAAACCACCAUUCUCCUGACACUCUCCAGAGGUACUUUCAUGUUGUUUUAGAAUUGUUUUUACAUUGUUGAAUAAAACUGAAAUGUCAUGUAUUCUACACAUGAGUUGAUUUCUCCUAUAUUUAUAUUAAAUACAAAUACACUGAUUUGCCAAGUAA